This 443-nucleotide ribosomal RNA is filed under the name uncultured bacterium. RNAcentral's name for it is "partial 16S ribosomal RNA". It matches the Rfam family "Bacterial small subunit ribosomal RNA", at positions 338 to 795 of the family's 1533-position model. The record is from RNAcentral.
CCUACGGGGGGCAGCAGUGGGGAAUAUUGGGCAAUGGGCGCAAGCCUGACCCAGCAACGCCGCGUGAAGGAAGAAGGCUUUCGGGUUGUAAACUUCUUUUCUCAGGGACGAAGCAAGUGACGGUACCUGAGGAAUAAGCCACGGCUAACUACGUGCCAGCAGCCGCGGGAAUACGUAGGUGGCAAGCGUUAUCCGGAUUUACUGGGUGUAAAGGGCGUGUAGGCGGGAAAGCAAGUCAGAUGUGAAAACCCUGGGCUCAACCUGUGGACUGCAUUUGAAACUGUUUUUCUUGAGUACUGGAGAGGCAGGAGGAAUUCGUAGUGUAGCGGUGAAAUGCGUAGAUAUUAGGAGGAACACCAGUGGCGAAGGCGGUCUGCUGGACAGCAACUGACGCUGAGGCGCGAAAGCGUGGGGAGCAAACAGGAUUAGAUACCCGAGUAGUC